This 406-nucleotide unclassified non-coding RNA is filed under the name fungal sp. RNAcentral's name for it is "partial internal transcribed spacer region". The stretch from base 1 to 46 matches the Rfam family "Eukaryotic small subunit ribosomal RNA", at positions 1786 to 1831 of the family's 1831-position model. The record is from RNAcentral. Lineage: Eukaryota; Fungi.
AAGUCGUAACAAGGUAUCCGUAGGUGAACCUGCGGAUGGAUCAUUGCCAAAAAAGGGAUUUCUAUUCCCAUCCACACCCUUGUGCACUGUUUGUAACGGGCUGUUGGGUGAAUCUUCCUUGCUUGUUGUCGUUUGCCUAUUGGGGAGGGGGUGUCCCCAAGGCGGAUAAUAAGCGACGCAAAUGAGGAACCUUUCGCGUGGGAGGUAUUAAAUGCCCUGCCCCCGGAAGUGUUCACCCAGUAGCCGAGAAAGCCCGGGGUGGCGCCCAUGGGCGCCGUCCCUUGCUUUUGCACCCCCAUAAACAAACCAACCCCAAAGAACUGAUUGCCUGAAACCUCGAAUAAUCUCGAGAAACGCAAAAAGCAAAAUAAAGCGAUAACUUCUAACAAUGGAUCUCUCGGCUCUC